UGUGAAAAACCCAUCAAGUGGGUGGUCCUGUAUUUCACACGCCUUGGGCACAUCCAGCAGCCCAUUGAAAGCAAGAACUUGCAAGUGGAUUUAAAAAAUGAAAUUCAGGGUGGGCAAAAUGUGUGAAGGGGGUCAAAAGGUACAAACUUCCAGAUACAAUAUAAAUAAGUCCUGGGCAUGUAAUGGACAGCAUAGACAGUGUUGCCAU
Ceratotherium simum simum (southern white rhinoceros) is the source of this 208-nucleotide non-coding RNA. The record is from RefSeq and is a predicted model, not a curated record. Lineage: Eukaryota; Metazoa; Chordata; Mammalia; Perissodactyla; Rhinocerotidae.